AUUGAACGCUGGCGGCAGGCCUAACACAUGCAAGUCGAGCGGAUGAAGGGAGCUUGCUCCUGGAUUCAGCGGCGGACGGGUGAGUAAUGCCUAGGAAUCUGCCUGGUAGUGGGGGAUAACGUCCGGAAACGGGCGCUAAUACCGCAUACGUCCUGAGGGAGAAAGUGGGGGAUCUUCGGACCUCACGCUAUCAGAUGAGCCUAGGUCGGAUUAGCUAGUUGGUGGGGUAAAGGCCUACCAAGGCGACGAUCCGUAACUGGUCUGAGAGGAUGAUCAGUCACACUGGAACAGAGACACGGUCCAGACUCCUACGGGGGGCAGCAGUGGGGAAUAUUGGACAAUGGGCGAAAGCCUGAUCCAGCCAUGCCGCGUGUGUGAAGAAGGUCUUCGGAUUGUAAAGCACUUUAAGUUGGGAGGAAGGGCAGUAAGUUAAUACCUUGCUGUUUUGACGUUACCAACAGAAUAAGCACCGGCUAACUUCGUG
Molecule: ribosomal RNA, 484 nt
Filed under: uncultured bacterium
Lineage: Bacteria
Description: partial 16S ribosomal RNA
Rfam family: Bacterial small subunit ribosomal RNA
Source: RNAcentral